GAGGGGCAGAAGAGGCAGACAGAAGCUGCCCACCACCUGUGGCAGCCACUCCCUCUCCCUUUCAGUAGUACUGAUGAACUUGCUUGUUCUGCCCUCUGGAACUUUUUCCUUCUCCUCCAGCACCUGUUCUGAGGCAGAGCUAUUAAUAGAGAAGCCCCACUACUACCUACAGGCACAAGGAAGGAAUAUUAAAAGGAGCAGAAAUUCCACUCUGUAAGAAUGGGCAGAAAAAGGAAAUAAAACAGCAAUGCAAAUUCCAGAUUACCGUAUUUCAGGGAUUGUCAGCACCACCUCUCAGCAUCCCCAGAAGCCACCCCAGCCCUACGGACUGAAACAGGAACAGCACUGAAUCAUUACACUGCUUUUGUGAGAAAGGGCUUUAUUGAGCUCCAGGCUGUACAACUCAAUCCUUCUUUGCAGCAGCUUUCCUCAUGGCUGCCAGGACGUUACUGAGUUCUUCCCGCUUUCGCUUGGCCCGAAUGUGAGUGCCAACCUGAGGAGAGGAGAGCAGAGCAGCACAGUCAGCAGCAGCCCAGCAAAGCAGGGGAAAGCAGCUGGUUGGCUUCAGGUAUUUACUUGAGAAGCAAAUGAGACAGUACUGUCCCAGCAAACACACAUCUGAACCCAAGCAAUCUCAGCUAGCUGGCCAAGAACUGCUUCACAUGACACUUCAGUGGUGCUUCUACUCUAUAUUUCUGGGGGGCAAGGCAGAGAAUGCUCCCAGCCAUCAGGGCUGCCUCCAAUGAGCACUCUUUCAUGUCACCUGGUUAAUGGCACCCAGCCACCACCAGCAUUGCUCUCCUCUUCCCAGCACCAGCUCACAAGUAAUGCAAGAAGAGCAAUGUGUGUCUGGAUUCCUGUAGCUCAGGACCUCAUCAAAGUCCCUCUGUCCAAAUCCAAUACCUAAAUCCAUCUCCCUCUCUUCCACCCUCCCUCAGUCUGACACUAACUGCCCUAGCAACUGGAAAAAAACACAGAGCGAAGCUUCCCUAGGAAAGGACAGAAAACUGGAAGCUCAGCAAAGAGUUUCUGACAGCCUCGUUAAAGCAUCAGACUGACACACACCCGUUUCUUUAUGAACUUCAGAGCACGUUUAUCUUUGGAAACCUUCAGCAGUUCCAUAGCACGUCUUUCGUAGGGUGCGAAGCCGCAGACCUCCCUGAUCAUAUCCCGCACAAACUUGGUGUGUUUGGUCAGGCGCCCGCGGCGGCGGCAGUGCCUGGGCUUGGACACGUUCUUCGUCACCUUGUAGCCCUUGUUGAGGCCGACGGCCAUAGGGUAGCGGAUCGCCAUGUCUGCAGCUGCACCGCUGGCGCCGCACCGGAAAGAAGGAGCGCGCGCGCGACGUGCUGGGACAGCGGAACUUCCGGCCCAGCCUCAGAGGGCGCUCUAUUCCUCGGCGGGACCAUAGAGGCGGGCGGGAUGCCGGGCGGCCGCGUGGUGGUGGAAUGAUACGGCCGCUGUGCGGCGCUGCGUCUGCUGAUAGCGGUGCCGAUCGGUGCCAGCACGGAGCUACGGCGGGCGGUGCCGGCGGGUUUGUAGGGCCGCGGUGGGGCGUUGGAACUCGAGCGCACGCUGCUGCCUCAGCCCAAACUCGGUGUCGACGAGAACCCCCGAGUCCCGUUCUGCAGGCUGCUCUCCGGUCUCUCAUCCCCCGCCUGUAGCCGUGGCCAGGGCUGCACGCCCAGCGGCAGGAUUCGGCCCUUGCUCUGGCUGGAUUCCAUGCUGCCGGGGGUUGCCCAGCCCUGCCGUGCGUCCAGGGCUCCGCAAGGCCUCUCUGCCCCUGAGGGAGUCAGCUCCUCCACUUUAGGGCUGUCCUCAAACUCGGGGUCCAUUCAAGUCCUGCAUCCAGACACCAUCUCCAGACCCAACCUCUCCUUUGUAGAUGGGGCACUUGAUCCCAUAGAGAGGGGUGUGAUUUAAGAAGCUCAGAGAACACCACUGAUCUCAUCGGAUUGCUUUCUAAAUGUCUACAAUAUCCAAUAAAAGCACAGGAACUGACGAGGGGUCGCACAUCUGUUGAUGCCAUCAGCAAAACGCACGCAGUGUCUUUGUCGAGUUGGGCCUCCGGAGCAGCCUCUGGGAGACUGGUGGCAUUGCAGAGCACUGCAGAGCAUUACAGAGCGUUGCAGAGCGUUGCAGAGCAUUGCAGAGCAUUACAGAGCGUUGCAGAGCACUGCCUGGGUACGCAGCCACUGCAGCAGAAGCUGUGCAAUGGAAAUCAUGGAGCAUUCGCAAGAAAUGCCACCAAACUGAGAAGGGAUUGCUGUUUUCUUUGGUGACCAUUGCUUGGGAAACUGAUGUGCACCUCCGAAUGGAGAACCGGAGGGACACCGAGGAGGCCAGAAGGGAACCGUUCAGGGGACCCCCCUGCCAUAAAAGCGCCGUAAGAAAGCUGCAGCAGGAGCCUGAAGUCUGGAGAUCCCAUGAGAGACGCAACAAGUGGACAAAAUAUGAGAUCUGUGUGAUGUGUUCAACCCAAUGAGCCAUUUUCUGUUUUCUUUCUCCCAUAUUUCCAGCACUUAUGAAUGGUUUGCAUGUCAGCAGAAUUUCCCCCUUUAGUUCAUCCUCUGCUCUCUUUGCCCUGCUGCAUUCUCGGAGCAACGUUCCCAUGAGGUGAGCACACAGGGAGGUUCUGGCUGACCCAGGUUCAGGAAGGAUGGAGCUGUUCCCAGCUGAGUCACCCAUUCUUUCUCCCAGAGCUGGAGAUCAGCCAGGUUAGACAAAAGGGCUGCAGAUGUUCUCAGGUGGGCAUGAAACUGAGCUGCUCUCUAGAGCUGGUAAUAGCUUGAUUCACCAGGCAUAUAAAAACACAGGGAUUUAACAUCAGAGUUGCUAAAUAGGUACGUUUGAGGGUCUUUUCAUUCAGAUACUUCUGAAUUUCCUUUUUAGGACUGGUAAAGGUCCCAAUGACUCCAGGAUGACUAAUUCCUUUCCUUAUAUACAAUGACUGUCUUCUGUGCUCUGUAAGGCCUAUUUCACUUGACUCAGCCAUAUCAGAGAAUAAGGAAGGAAAAUGUGGUCUCUCUGCUAAAUAGGGCUAAUGUGGAUAAGGCUGACUCAGUGCCUUUCUUGCCUUGGUCUACACCAAUAGGUUCUCCCAGGCUUUUGUACCUAUAGACAGGAAGUUCUUGAGAAAAAAUCUACAGCUCUGUGGGAUCAAAUGAGAUACAGCCAGUGGUGCAUGGAUACGUGGCUGAUGUCAAUGCAGCACUGCUGUCUAAUCACUGAAAGCUCAUAGAAAUCACUGACAACUGGAGAAAGCAAAAUGUUGCACCAGUGUUCAGAAAGGGCAAGAAGGGCAAUCCUUGGAAACAAGCUGGUUGGGCUGGGAAGGGAAG
This 3341-nucleotide long non-coding RNA is filed under the name Gallus gallus (chicken). The record is from RNAcentral. Lineage: Eukaryota; Metazoa; Chordata; Aves; Galliformes; Phasianidae.